CUUGCCCCUAGAGGCAUUACAGGUGUGGCUGCAGUGUCAUAGGGGCCUCAGUAGAUGGCAGAGAAGAAAGAAGCUAUGUUUACAGUCAGUGUUCUGUCCACUGAACAUCUGGUAAAUAGUAGCAACACACU
This is a small nucleolar RNA of Mastomys coucha (southern multimammate mouse), 131 nucleotides long. RefSeq annotates it as small nucleolar RNA SNORA17. The record is from RefSeq and is a predicted model, not a curated record. The transcript has a single exon. NCBI's taxonomy places the organism in Eukaryota, Metazoa, Chordata, Mammalia, Rodentia, Muridae.